UGGAAGGAUUUGUUAGACUCAACGGAAGCAAAUCUUCAAGCAGCUAGCUCCAUAGACAAGCCCUCACUGCAGUCUUCCCCCACUUUCACUCGUUUCCCUCCUCCCUUCCUUUCUAGUCCUUUCUCUCUUUCCUUUUCUUCUUCCUUCUCUCCUUCCCUUUUUUCCUUCCUCCUUCCUUCCUUCAUAAAUCCUGUACCACACUUGCUCUCUGUUUUUCCUCUUUCUCUCUGAUUUUCGCAGGAGGGAGGUGACUAGUGGGACCAUUGCUUUCCUAGUGAGUAUCUACGACUCUGCUAGGCACCAGGCUCAGAGACUGUGCUCCUUGGGGCUUGCCACUCCCUUCCUGGUGUGUUUUCCCUGCUCUUCCGGCUCUGAAAUUAUGGUUCGGACUAGAAUGAAGGAACUUGAAAAUUCGUGCAUGGAAAAUGCCGCCCCCGCCCGCGGCUUGGGCCUGGAGAUCAACGACUAGUCAGGUCCCAGCGCCGGGUGGACACUCACAGGCUGCGGGACAGCUCUGAGCCUCGGUGUCUUCACGCUCCGAGUAGAGGCAAUUGGAGGAGCUGUGGCCUAAGGUUGUGUGACACAGAGGCAGGCCAACCCAGGCAUCCAGACUGUGAGCUGCGGGGCCGUGUGGCAGGGCACAGAGCUUCGAGGGACCCUCUGGCCAUUGCGGGGUCACGCUCCAGCCUCGUGCACUGGAGUUGCCCCCUGUCCGCCUAAUCCUAAUCCCUUUCUAAUCGCCCCGUGGUGGUGAGAAGAUAUCGAGUGUCAGCAGCCUGGUCCGAGCAGAGGCAAACCUCCCGUCCUUGGGUGUGGUCGACUGCAAGAUCUAGAGACAGAUCCUCUGCAGAUCACUGAGGAGGCCAGAAGCUCUUCUACCACAUCUUCUUUCUUAGGCUCUCUUCUGUCCGUUGAGGAACUUGGCCUUGGGGAAGGGCCCAGCAUGCCAGGCGUGUCGACCACAAGUGGAAAGAAGAGUAACGUCCUUUCAUCUUACCUAUCUCUGAAUCUGACGCACCACUGGGACUCCAGAGCUGGCUGAGCGAUCGGUGCCUUCAGGAGUAAGGAGUGUUUAAAAAGAGAGAGGGAAAUAUGGCGACUCGGCCUAGAGGCCAAAGAUGAACAGGACCUGUGUUCACCAGGAGGAAAUUCAGAGUGAAAAAAAGAUUUGCUUCUACUCUCUUCCCACAGGGGCAGCAAACCCCAAGGAAACUUCAUCCCCCCCGCCGCCUUUAAUAGAUGCUAACAUUUAUCUUGUUGGCAGAGGUUUAUCUUCCCCUGGAUCUCAUGGAGACCUUGGAAAAUAUAGGGAUAAUAUAACAAAGGACACGGCCCUCAAAAGGUAAGUGCCUGCUUUUUAAUGAGAACUGCUGUCAAGUAAAAUGGUUUAAAGAGAAUGGCUUAAAAAGACUCAAAAAAAAAAAAAAAAAA
Lutra lutra (Eurasian river otter) is the source of this 1431-nucleotide long non-coding RNA. RefSeq lists it as uncharacterized. The transcript is spliced from 4 exons. Lineage: Eukaryota; Metazoa; Chordata; Mammalia; Carnivora; Mustelidae. The record is from RefSeq and is a predicted model, not a curated record.